This 1062-nucleotide long non-coding RNA is filed under the name Pomacea canaliculata. RNAcentral describes it as "uncharacterized LOC112560923, transcript variant X3". Lineage: Eukaryota; Metazoa; Mollusca; Gastropoda; Architaenioglossa; Ampullariidae. The record is from RNAcentral.
UAAAGAGCAAACCAUCAUCAGACAAAGAGCAGAGCAAACAAGGAGAUGUAAUAAUCAAGCUGAGAUGGAACAAAUGCACAGACAAGAGUGGCAUCAGCAUGUGUAGAAAGAUGGCACUAAUCUCAUAGAACUCAUAAUAGGUAGACUGACAAACAGCUGUAAUUCGUCUAUCAAGGGUCAUGUCUGCAGUAAUGAUGAAUCAAAGAUUUCAGAGAGAGGGCAUGAAGGUGAUGGUGGCAUUACAAUUUUAUGCUACAGGCACAAUGAGAGUUGUAGUGGCUGACACAUUUGGCAUUGACAUGGGAUGAAUAUGGGAGACAGUGGCUACCCGCUGAGGGACUGGCUUAGUAUCCCCUUUUUUAAAAUGCAGACACUAGAGCCAAGAAAAAGUUCAACUGUGCCCACAGCUCAACAAGGAACACCAUUGAGAGAACCAAUGGUGUUAUCAAAAAUUGGUUCCAUUUUCUUCAGGCACAACUAAGUUUCUUCAGGUGACCCAGUUGACGGAUGGAAUUCUAGCUGCUUGGUACAUCUCCUGGUGUGUUUUAAGCUUUUGGGAACAUAACUGUCUGACAGUCAAAAAGAUUUUUUCAGAAAUGUGCAACUGUCUAGGCCUGAGCAGCUUUGAUGGCUUUGAAUAUUGCUGUCUGGCUCUCAGUGGUGUUGAUGCUGCACGAAAGAAAUAUUUUUUAGAACAAUUGUUUCAUGACAAUUCCACUUGGGACCACUGAGUACUUACCAUUGCAUUAGGUUAUGUAAAGGUAUUGCUUGAAUUACUCUUCUGUGUAAGGUUUCUAUAUAAAUAGAUUAUUAUGUUGCUUUUAAUUCUUUGUGAUGCCCAGUAAGUAGUAAAAAGCAGUAAUGUUGAUAUUUACUACAUGCUGCUGGUGGGAUUGUGAAGGACAUGUUUUUCUCUUUAGAGUUAAUAUUUAACACUUUUCACUGGACCCAGGUAAGCCAUGUCAGAACUUCAUAACAUUUUAUAUGCAACUGUUAAAGAAUGUAGACACCCCACGUCCAUGUCAUUCAGAAGCUGAGUGUCUACUGGAAUCUAAACUGUAG